RNAcentral lists this ribosomal RNA (494 nucleotides) under uncultured bacterium. Its description in RNAcentral is "partial 16S ribosomal RNA". It matches the Rfam family "Bacterial small subunit ribosomal RNA", at positions 28 to 507 of the family's 1533-position model. The record is from RNAcentral.
GACGAACGCUGGCGGCGUGCUUAACACAUGCCAGUCGAACGGAAAGGCCUGCUUUCCCUUGUGGAUUGCGGGUACUCGAGUGGCGAACGGGUGAGUAACACGUGAGUGAUCUGCCCCCAACUUGGGUAUAAGCCUGGGAAACUGGGUCUAAUUCCCGAUAGGACUGCAGGGUGGUGCCUGUGGUGGAAAACGAUUUUCUAGUGGUUGGGGAUGAGCUCGCGGCCUAUCAGCUUGUUGGUGGGGUAAUGGCCUACCAAGGCGGCGACGGGUAGCCGGCCUGAGAGGGUGGACGGCCACAUUGGGACUGAGAUACGGCCCAGACUCCUACGGGAGGCAGCAGUGGGGAAUAUUGCACAAUGGGCGGAAGCCUGAUGCAGCGACGCCGCGUGGGGGAUGACGGCCUUCGGGUUGUAAACUCCUUUCGACCGCGAGGAAGCCACCUGGUUGGAAGGGUGGUGACGGUAGUGGUAGAAGAAGCACCGGCUAACUACGCG